ACAGGGGACCGGACGGUCGCCGGCGGAGGGCCCACGCGUGGGCUCCCCCGCGGGAGGAAAGUCGGGACUCCACCGGACAGGGUGCCGGCUAACGGCCGGGCGGCGCGAGCCGACGGAAAGUGCCACAGAAACAUACCGCCACCCCGCGCCGGCUCCUGCCGGGGCGGGAGGGUAAGGGUGAAAUGGUGCGGUCAGAGCGCACCGGCGUUCCCGGAGACGGGGCGGCCGGGCAAACCCCACCCGGAGCAAGGCCGCAUAGGGGGGCGAUGGGAGGUCCGGUCCCGCCCCCGGGUAGGCCGCUGGAGGCGGCGGGCAACCGCCGUCCUAGAUGGAUGGCCGUCCCCGCCCUUCGCGGGCGGGACAGAAUCCCGCUUACAGGUCCCCUGUCCCG
RNAcentral lists this RNase P RNA (391 nucleotides) under Chloroflexota bacterium. RNAcentral describes it as "Chloroflexi bacterium RNase P RNA component class A". It matches the Rfam family "Bacterial RNase P class A". From Rfam's summary of the family: Ribonuclease P (RNase P) is a ubiquitous endoribonuclease, found in archaea, bacteria and eukarya as well as chloroplasts and mitochondria. Its best characterised activity is the generation of mature 5'-ends of tRNAs by cleaving the 5'-leader elements of precursor-tRNAs. Lineage: Bacteria; Bacillati; Chloroflexota. The record is from RNAcentral.